CCGGAGGAGAGUCGUGGGGGCCAAGGAGCACCUUGGCUGUCUGGAGUCUGGCGGGAGUGGGGAAGGAUUGAGGGGCUAGCUCAGGCAGCAGGGGCCGUCAGGCCUGGGAGCCCACGAGGAGAAGGGUGGGCUCCCAGGGAAGCAGGGCAACAUCGGCAGGCAGGGGCGUUGGGCCUGAGCUAGGGCUGGAGAGGAGGGGAGCCAGACAUUCAUCCCGGGAACUUUUGGUUUCAGGACGUGGCGGCUGGUCGGACAAGGGGAAGCUGCUGGGCAGGGCUCGACCCCAAACCUGGGCAGUGGAGGUGUAGCUGGCAGCAGUGGGCAGGUGAGGACCGCCAUCUGCCGGGCAGGUGAGUCCACUUCCCUCCCUGGGCCUCACUGCGCUGGCCUUCUGGAUGAAGGUUGGAGAGCGAGGACCUGCAAGGAGAAGUGGCUGUCCUCCCGGCAGAGCGGCAGGAGGAAGGCAGGAUGGUCAGCACAGGUGACAUCUUCUCGGGGGGAGCCGAGACGGAGAGAGACUGGGGGGCCCAGGGUCCAUUCCAGGUGGAAAGAGCAUUUUGAGUGGGCAGGAUAGAGAAGAGAAGGGCUGCCAGCAAGGACCGAGGCUGCUGCCUCCAGGGAGGUGACAGGUGACCUGGGGGUGGUAGUGGAGUCUGUGGGAAUCCAUCUAGCACUGUGGGAGUAUCCCAGGUCCAGGUCGGGCAGGGCGAGGUGGGGUCACAGGAUACAGAGGGGUCCCCAGCCGCCACCACAUCCCACCCACCGUAAUUCAUCUAGGAGAAGGUACAGAAGCGGCUCUGGCGGGUCUCCAGAGGCCUGUGCCAGAGCCUCGAAGGCCGGAGAGCGGGAAAGAAGGGCAGUGCGCGGGCAGCACAGAAGGACGUCACCUGGGGGGAGCGGUGGUCGCGGGUGGCGGGCUCCGGAGAGAUAUCGCAGCAAGGAGGCUGCAGCCGGCCCAGCCUGCGGAUGCACCGUUCCCACGCGGCACUGCGGCCCAGAGGCUGGCGCGGAGAGGGCCCACAGUGGACUUGGUGACACUGUAUGCCCUAACCGCUCAGCCGCUGGGUCUGGCAUGGCAGACAGGACAGCACCAGGGGAGCCAAGGGCAUGGGCAAGGCCAGACAAGGCGAGACGGGCGGGGUAGAGCGAGUGAGCUCUCUAAGGGGGGAGUCGGGGCAGGCAGGUGAGGGGCCACCAGGCGGCGAGCCAACGAGGCACUGGCCUCCAGAGCCCGUGGCCAAGGCGGGCAUCACGGGCAGCGACGGAGCAGUGAUCGGUGCCUCCAAGCUCAAGACUGGAGACAAGGACAGGUCUCCAGCAGGGGUGCACACGCCAGCCCCCGAAGGCCAGGACGCCAGGCGCAGGGAUGUACUGGAAAGACAUGACAUGGUCCGGUGUGACGGCGAGGACAGAGGGACUGCCGUCCGGCCUUCGUGAACACUCUGGCUGGCACCACGGGGGAGGCUGCCACAGAAGGGUCUGGUCCUUUGCUUUUCCGAAAGAGUCAACACACCGCUGCUGCUCUCUGGACCCCCUAGAACCCUCAAGAUAUAAAGAAAUGGUGCUACCCAGCUCAUGUCUGGGCCUUCAACUCCGGGGACUUCUUCAAGUCCGUCUAGCUCUGGAUCAAGAAUAUGCUGCGUUUGGGAACCACUGCAUACCUGACUCAGGAAUCGGCUCUGGAGGUGGAGCUGAAGGACCAGGCCUGUGGACACCAAGGCAGAACAGACCCGCAGCACCCGCCGCCAGCCAAGCCCCAUCCUCGUGGCCACCCCGCUGCGCCCAGCGGACCAUCGGCACGCCUCCCUCUGCUUUUCUUCUUCCUCCUUCCCUCCAACCUUGUGUUUCUGUCUUUCUUCCUUCCGUCGUUUGAGAGAUUCAAAGCAUCCGUGACUCUGUUUCCCCACCCGUCCCUUCUGAUUUCAAUUUGCACUAAGUCGUUUGCACUGGUUUGGAGCUCGGGAGAGCCUUGAGUCUCUCUGUGCGCCUGUGCGUGAGUGUGCGGGCCUCCUUGGCCACGCCGCCCCAGCGCCUGCCUGCUGUCCACCUCUGCCUGGGGGCGCCUGGGCGCCGGCCGCGUGCUUGAGGCCUCGCCCUCCCCUCACCUUGUCUGGAAGCUCCACAAGAGCGAGCCACCUCAAAGCAUUCCUUACCCUACCUUGCCCAGUGCCCCUCCCCACCAGGGCUCACCAGAGCCCUGGCCUCAUCAAUAAACACAGUUACAGCGA
Marmota monax (woodchuck) is the source of this 2228-nucleotide RNA transcript. RefSeq lists it as uncharacterized. The record is from RefSeq and is a predicted model, not a curated record. Lineage: Eukaryota; Metazoa; Chordata; Mammalia; Rodentia; Sciuridae. The transcript has 5 exons.